AUUGAACGCUGGCGGCAUGCCUUACACAUGCAAGUCGAACGGUAACAGGUCUUCGGAUGCUGACGAGUGGCGAACGGGUGAGUAAUACAUCGGAACGUGCCUAGUAGUGGGGGAUAACUACUCGAAAGAGUGGCUAAUACCGCAUGAGAUCUACGGAUGAAAGCAGGGGAUCGCAAGACCUUGUGCUACUAGAGCGGCCGAUGGCAGAUUAGGUAGUUGGUGGGAUAAAGGCUUACCAAGCCGACGAGCUGUAGCUGGGCUUAGAGGACGAUCAGACAGACUGGGACUGAGACACGGACCAGACUCCUACGGGAGGCAGCAGUGGGGAAUUUUGGACAAUGGGCGAAAGCCUGAUCCAGCAAUGCCGCGUGCAGGAUGAAGGCCUUCGGGUUGUAAACUGCUUUUGUACGGAACGAAAAGCCCCGGGUUAAUACCCUGGGGUCAUGACGGUACCGUAAGAAUAAGCACCGGCUAACUACGUGCCAGCCGCCGCGGUAA
Molecule: ribosomal RNA, 498 nt
Filed under: uncultured bacterium
Lineage: Bacteria
Description: partial 16S ribosomal RNA
Rfam family: Bacterial small subunit ribosomal RNA
Source: RNAcentral